AUUGAUUUUAUGCUUGCAUAAAUGAUUUUUGGAUUCGGAGCGAGUGGCGAACUGGUGAGUAACACGUGGGUAACCUGCCCCGAAGCGGGGGAUAACAUUUGGAAACAAGUGCUAAUACCGCAUAAUUAGUUGGAACCGCAUGGUUCCAACUUGAAAGAUGGCUCUGCUAUCACUUUGGGAUGGACCCGCGCCGUAUUAGUUAGUUGGUGAGAUAAAAGCCCACCAAGACGAUGAUACGUAGCCGACCUGAGAGGGUAAUCGGCCACAUUGGGACUGAGACACGGCCCAGACUCCUACGGGAGGCAGCAGUAGGGAAUCUUCCACAAUGGACGAAAGUCUGAUGGAGCAACGCCGCGUGAGUGAUGAAGGUUUUCGGAUCGUAAAACUCUGUUGUUAAAGAAGAACAAGUGUUAGAGUAACUGUUAACACUUUGACGGUAUUUAACCAGAAAGCCACGGCUAACUACGUGCCAGCAGCCGCGGUAAUACGUAGGUGGCAAGCGUUGUCCGGAUUUAUUGGGCGUAAAGCGAGCGCAGGCGGUUUUGUAAGUCUGCUGUGAAAGCCCUCAGCUCAGCUGAGGAAGUGCAGUGGAAACUACAAAACUUGAGUACAGAAGAGGAAAGUGGAACUCCAUGUGUAGCGGUGAAAUGCGUAGAUAUAUGGAAGAACACCAGUGGCGAAGGCGGCUUUCUGGUCUGUUACUGACGCUGAGGCUCGAAAGCAUGGGUAGCGAACAGGAUUAGAUACCCUGGUAGUCCAUGCCGUAAACGAUGAAUACUAGGUGUUGGAGGGUUUCCGCCCUUCAGUGCCGCAGCUAACGCAUUAAGUAUUCCGCCUGGGGAGUACGACCGCAAGGUUGAAACUCAAAGGAAUUGACGGGGGCCCGCACAAGUGGUGGAGCAUGUGGUUUAAUUCGAUGCUACGCGAAGAACCUUACCAGCUCUUGACAUCUUCUGCCAACCCAAGAGAUUGGGCGUUCCCUUCGGGGACAGAAUGACAGGUGGUGCAUGGUUGUCGUCAGCUCGUGUCGUGAGAUGUUGGGUUAAGUCCCGCAACGAGCGCAACCCUUAUUAUUAGUUGCCAGCAUUUAGUUGGGCACUCUAGUGAGACUGCCGGUGAUAAA
RNAcentral lists this ribosomal RNA (1123 nucleotides) under uncultured bacterium. RNAcentral's name for it is "bacterial SSU rRNA". It matches the Rfam family "Bacterial small subunit ribosomal RNA", at positions 47 to 1162 of the family's 1533-position model. The record is from RNAcentral.